Molecule: long non-coding RNA, 562 nt
Filed under: Homo sapiens (human)
Lineage: Eukaryota; Metazoa; Chordata; Mammalia; Primates; Hominidae
Description: non-protein coding lnc-SPANXN1-4:1
Source: RNAcentral
CAUGAUAUUUGGAAAAUGUAAAAGAAAGUAGAGGUUUCUUUCUGGAUGGCCCAGGAGGUGGACCUGUCCAAGGACAUUUGGCACUGGGAAGCCCUGAAGCCUGAGUAAAGAUAUUUUAUAUCCCAUAUUCUGGCUUUCUUUGCAGCAUGUGAUGGGAUAAUAGAUGAAAACUUGGUGGAACAAUUUGUUCAAGAAGUUCAGAUUACAGAAACCUUCUGCUUCUAUGGCUUCCAAAUUGCUAUAGAAAACAUACAUUCUGAAAUAAAUAAUCUCCUUAUUGACACAUAUUAAAGAUAACAAAGAAAGGGAAUUUCUCUUCAGUGCCAUUGAAACGAUGCCUGUGUCAAGAAGAAGGCAGGUUGGGUCUUGUGUUGGAUUGGGAACAAAGACGUUACCCAUGGAGAACGUGUUGCAUGCAGCCUUUGCCCUGGUGGAAAGCACCUUCUUUUCUGGUUCUUUUGCAUUGAUAUUCUGGCUCAAGAAACAAGGACUGAUGCCUGGCCUCACAUUUUCCAAUGAACUUAUUAGCAGUGAUGAGGGUUUACACUGUUACUUUGCUUGC